This is a long non-coding RNA of Maniola jurtina (meadow brown), 182 nucleotides long. RefSeq lists it as uncharacterized. The record is from RefSeq and is a predicted model, not a curated record. The transcript is spliced from 3 exons. Lineage: Eukaryota; Metazoa; Arthropoda; Insecta; Lepidoptera; Nymphalidae.
AUUCUUAGACUGAGAUUUAUACAGCGCACUUUGACUUUUCUCAGAAUUAAGAUUGAGUUAAAACGAGACAGAUUUAUGUGACAGAUAUACAUCUGUCUCAUUAUAACUCUGUCCUAAGUCUAAGCAAGGUCAGAAUGCGUUCAAUAGAUGUCACCCUCAGUCUCACUGGUUAUCCUUCACCG